GCCAAAAGCUAAUGCUGCACUGAAGAAGCCAGUUACUGUCAUCCCAGGAUCACGAAGAACGUUGAAGUCAGCAUCUUCUAGUGCACAAGCUCCCCAGGAAAGUGCCUUUUACUUGAUAAUUGUGGAAGUGACUUUUAUUAGUCUAUCCAAAGGUGUGCAUUAGCCAUUCAAGAUUAAGUCAACUAACAAAUUUCUACAAACGCAGUCCCUUGCCAUAAAAAAGGAAUCAGCAUCCCUGUCUAAGCCUCCUAAGAUGGCAGGCAGAGGUAGCAUAUCAACAGCAGCUAACGGACCUUUACUGAACCACAACCGUGUUAAACUGGAAGAUGAUAAAAGAAAACGUUCGGCUUCAGAAAAUUCAAAAAAACUGAGAGG
RNAcentral lists this long non-coding RNA (375 nucleotides) under Linum usitatissimum (flax). RNAcentral describes it as "long non-coding RNA (LUSI_LNC003194)". The record is from RNAcentral. Lineage: Eukaryota; Viridiplantae; Streptophyta; Magnoliopsida; Malpighiales; Linaceae.